This 477-nucleotide ribosomal RNA is filed under the name uncultured organism. RNAcentral describes it as "partial 16S ribosomal RNA". It matches the Rfam family "Bacterial small subunit ribosomal RNA", at positions 331 to 799 of the family's 1533-position model. The record is from RNAcentral.
GUACACUCCUGCGGGAGGCAGCAGUGGGGAAUUUUGGACAAUGGGCGAAAGCCUGAUCCAGCAAUGCCGCGUGAGUGAAGAAGGCCUUCGGGUUGUAAAGCUCUUUUGUCAGGGAAGAAACGGUGAAAGCUAAUAUCUUUUGCUAAUGACGGUACCUGAAGAAUAAGCACCGGCUAACUACGUGCCAGCAGCCGCGGUAAUACGUAGGGUGCAAGCGUUAAUCGGAAUUACUGGGCGUAAAGCGUGCGCAGGCGGUUUUGUAAGUCUGAUGUGAAAUCCCCGGGCUCAACCUGGGAAUUGCAUUGGAGACUGCAAGGCUAGAAUCUGGCAGAGGGGGGUAGAAUUCCACGUGUAGCAGUGAAAUGCGUAGAUAUGUGGAGGAACACCGAUGGCGAAGGCAGCCCCCUGGGUCAAGAUUGACGCUCAUGCACGAAAGCGUGGGGAGCAAACAGGAUUAGAUACCCUUGUAGUCCCAUG